AUACGGAGGGUGCAAGCGUUACUCGGAAUUACUGGGCGUAAAGGACGCGUAGGCUGGUUUGCAAGUCAGGGGUGAAAGCCUACAGCUUAACUGUAGAACUGCUCUUGAAACUGCUUACCUAGAGUAUGGGAGAGGUGAAAGGAAUUAGUGGUGUAGGGGUAAAAUCCGUAGAGAUCACUAGGAAUACCGAUUGCGAAGGCGUUUCACUGGAACAUAACUGACGCUAAGGCGUGAAAGCGUGGGGAGCAAACAGGAUUAGAUACCCCAGUAGUCC
This 274-nucleotide ribosomal RNA is filed under the name uncultured bacterium. RNAcentral's name for it is "partial 16S ribosomal RNA". It matches the Rfam family "Bacterial small subunit ribosomal RNA", at positions 523 to 796 of the family's 1533-position model. The record is from RNAcentral.